CAGGUACACACUUAUGCACACAUACCCAUAAUGUUUUCACACACAUGUAUACUCACACGCAUGCACACUGUCACACACAGACACUUAUAUACAUGCUCACAUAACAUGCACUCAUAUUCACGUACACAGACACUCACACAAUCACAUAUAUACACAUUCAGACACUCAUAUGCACUCUCACUUAGACGCUCGUACACACUCACAUGCUCACACACAGACACACACUCCCAUACACGUGCCUAGACACACUCGCUCUCCUGGGCAGCCUUUCACUGGUGGCCACGUCAGGGGCUGAACUUGGAGGGAGAACCAGGGUGAGGGGGCAUUUGGGGAGGGGGCUGGUGGUGAGGCUAAAGUGUGGACUGUGGGAUUAGGAAAAGCUGGUGGGAAUCUCCAGGCCCCUGGCAGGAGCCCAGGACAAAGAGAUGACUGAUUAGGACUGAGGUCUGUGAGUAAGAACUGAGCUAUUCUCUGUCGCCCUCUGAGAGUCUGAGCGCCAAGGGGAGGUAGGAAGGAAGGGGGCUGUGGCGAAAGAGGCAGGCGACGGCAGCGGUGGGCAUCCCUGCCCCUGCCCCACUCUCAGCGCCAUGGUAGGAGGCUACAGGUUGGCCUGCUCCCCUCUUCGAGCAGCAGCAGCACAAUCAGGAAAUGGGUGCAGUUAAUCCCCCCACACACAGGGCUCAGGAAACUUCAACCCAGCCAGAGGGGAGGGAGCUGCAGUGCCGUCUCCUCAGGCCUGGCUCUUACUGCUCCCUGCCUCUCACCUCCAGCAUCCAGUCUUUCCGGCUUGGUGGCUGCAACCCCAGGACGGGAGGACAGCAGGACCUGGGGAGGAGGCAAACUGACCAGACUUUGCUUCCUGACUCCAGCUGGACAGGGGGUGCCCAGCAGCCCCUCACCACCCACCUGGCCUGGGGAGUGGCGCCCCAGGGUUGGUGAAUGGUGAGGGGGCACUGGCGUUUGGACUUCUCCCAGGGGUGGCUGUGAGAGCUGCAUCGGGGCUACCCCGGGUUCUGUGGAGUAGGGACCACAUUCACUGACUGCUGUGGAGGCUUCUCAGAGUGCCUGGCUCCUGCGCUAUUGUCCUUCCAUCUCCUCUCUCUUUGCCUAAGAGGUGCCCCUCAGCCCCCACCCUGUUCUGUCCUGUUCUCCACUGCCCACCAGGAAAUGGCGAACGGUCUCUCGGCUGCUCCUCACUCCCUGUGUUCGGUCUAUGAGAUGCUGGUAAACCUAGAGAACCCAGGCCACAAAGGCUGUAGGGGGCGGGGUGGGCAUGGGGCCUGCAGCCAGGAGUGGGAGCCCCGCGGGGGGCAGCUGGGCGCAGGGUGGGAGGCAGUCUCCCAGGCUCUCUUCUCUGCUUUGGCUCCCUCCUCUGGUCUAUUUUAGGUUUCCAUACUCGGCUCCAGGGGAAGACAAGACAUAAUCCAUACUUUUGGGCCUCCUCUCUCCUUCCCCACCAAAGGGCCUAGAACCAGGGCUGCCUUGUGAAAAGGAAGAAAAGGGGGAAGGAAAGAAGGAAGGACGUUAGGAGAGAGGGACUUUCUGGAAGAAAGCUUGGGAUCAGGAAUUUUGAGCAAGAAAAGAUGUUAGAAAUGCAGAAUCUCGGGCUCCGCCCAGCCAUGGUGAAUCUGAAUCUUCCUUUUAACAAGGGCCUGAGGUGAUGCCUAGACGUUAAUGUCUGAGAGGCUCUGCCUUGGGGUCCUGCUCCCAGGGCCCUGGGGUCUCUGGACAGCAGAGGACUCCUCAGCAGACCUGUGGUGGCAGCAAUGAUGGAACAUUUGAGUUCUUCUCCCUGACGGUGUCCCCUUUCCAGUCUCUUCCAGGCUCUGGAGCCCUCUAGGGAUCACCCUUCCCCGAGGCAGGACCUGGCUGACCUUUAGGUCUGGAGGUGGCCUCAGCUCUCAGGGCUGGUUGGGCCCCUGGGCAGUCAGAGGAGGUGGGUAGGCUGGAGGGGUUGGGGCUCGGCUGGGACCGAGAGACACAGGCCUGGUGUGCACAUCCUCUUUCCUGUGCCCUCACUUGGGGCUGCAAAAAGCAGCCUGGAUCUGUAACUCUUGGCAUUGCUUGCUGCUCUGAGCCUUUGAGUUUUUGGAGUUGGGCAAGGCGGCCCCUCUCGCUGGUGGGGGACCUGGUGACCACACCUGGGUGCACUGUUUGAUGGCUGCUCUGGAGGGUGUUUGACACACCCAGUGGUGCUCCCUUCUCCGAUCACACUUCUCACUCCCAACUCUGUUUGAGGAUGGGGAGCGUUUAUUCCCCAGGUGUUCAGGGACCUCCAGGGAAGGAGGAGGAAAGAGAGCCCUGCUCUUCUUUGUGGCCUAUAGACUAGAGGAGGGUGUGCAAGGCGGCAGGGCUUGUGAGUCAAGACGUGCUCUAGGGCCCUGGUGCCAGCAGGAGGCCCGCAGCUGAGUGACUUCCUUAGUUUUCUGUCCUCAGAGAUGCCCAAGCAAAGCUGCCAUCCCUGACAGGCUGCCAGCCUGCCCUCACGCUCCUCAGCCACGCCAGGGCCUGUUUGAUGGGCCUUGGGGCCCCUGCGGCCCGUAUCAAGCCAGGCUCAUUUCUCUAGGCCAAGGGAACAGUGAAAGUGACCUACCAGGUCCUGCUGGGGUCCAGGGCCACACAGUUGUCUGGGGCAGGGGUCGGGGGAGGGGGCUCUACCGCCCUCUCUGGGAAGGCCAGCUGUGCCUGGGUCACCAUGCUGCACCUUUACUGGGGGGUCGUCUGUUAAGGGCCACUCAGCUGAGUCCACAGGCCAGUGGGGAGGUUUGUGUGCAGAGGACCCUGGCUGCCUCGGAUGGGUGCCCCCCUUUCCUCCCGGCAGGUGGAGAGCUGGAGGGGGGGCCAGUUUUGGGGCUUGGCUUCCAGCCUUGCAGGGAUCAUCAUAGGUCUCAGAGUGUGUUGGAAUGAGUCUUUGCACAACCUUAAGGAGGGCCCAGCAGUUCCAGGAGACAGUACCCAGGGUUGUGAGGAGGUGGGAGGAAAGGGGAUGGAGUGAUGGCAGAGAAGAAGGCCAAAGGGAGUUGGGGGACUCCACAGCGGCUGACUCCCCAGGCUUCCGGUUCUGGGGCUGGGCUGACUCCCCAGGCUUCCGGUUCUGGGGCUCAGCCCGCCUCCUUCUGGUCCCUACCCAUGGGGCUGGGUCUCAGAGACCUUGCACCCUAGGAGUCUGGGAUUCUAGGAGGCUAAGCCAAUCCCCAGGCCAUGCUACAGGGAACGGAGACAAACUUCUCCCCCGAACUUUUUCUUGCGAGCAGUUAAUUGCCCUGGUGUCUGAGGCUGCAGUGUACAUGCCAGGGGACUUUAAUGAAUGCAGAUGACAGCUGAUUAAUCUGCCGUCUCUGGAGCCCUGCUCCUCUCUGUGGGGUCUGGCUACGCUCCAUUCAGCCUCAAUGGCCUGCACCAGCGGGGUGGGCUCCAACCUAUUACCACUGGCGCUUCCCACCCUAAUGGGGAAGAGGGCAAGCCCCCGCCCCUCCUCUGCGCCCCUGAGCCUGCAGUCUUGUCACACAUGAGGGGCUGGCCUGGAGGAGUAGGCUUGCCCCUGCUGGACUCUGUCACUGGGCAUUUCCCUACAGGAAGGGGGCCGAUUACAUGGAGAGACCCAACCAGCUGCUCAGUGGGAUUCGUGUGAAGGGAUUAAAUUUAGGGGCGCUGUCUAGACAAUGGCAGAUGGUUGGUUUUUCAGUUACUUGCUGACCGUGGACUUGAGAGAGCAGCCAGGCCGUCAGAUCCUUCCCACUCUGGGGAAAGGCCCAGAGAGAGGCGCUGGGGCCAGGGGAGAGGCCCUCUUUCUCUCCCGGCUGGGCUGCCCAGGCUCCCGGGAAGGCCACAGCUGUGGGGCUUCAUAGGUGCCGAGCGCUGUGCCGCUGUCGGGGUGGCUUACAGUCUGGUGGGGACACGAGAGUAAAGAGGCAACUACAGAUGUGAGGAGGUCCAAGAGGAGGACACAGGGGCCUCGUUCUGGGCAGGGAGGCCUUCCUGGAGGACACAGAGUGGGCUCUCCACCCGAGAGUGGUGCUUGCCAGAGGGAGGGGAGGCCCCUAUUCCAGACUCCAGCUGCCAGACCUGAGUUCCUUCAGGACGUCCUCAUCCCCAAGAAGCCCCAGACCCUUAGCACCUCCUCCUGGAGCUGCUUGCCCCUCCCUUUGGGCUGCCUGGCUGCUGGGGGAGGGAGGAUUGGUGAGGAGGAGCGUGGAGGGAGUGAGAAUCAGGCCUGGAGUGGAGGCUGCUGACCUCCUCCUGGGCAGGACCCCCACCGGGAAGCAGAAGCAGAGGUCCCUUUGGGGUGGAAGCCCCCUCAGAUUCCACAGCAAUAAAGAAGGGGCCCCGAGCUCAGCUCGCUCUUGCCACUGCAGCCUCUAAUGACAGGGUUGGGGUGUAAUGAAUAUCUGUGUGCUCAUAAAACAGGCUAAUGACUGCCCUCGUUUAAUGGACCCCUUUCAUCCUCACCCAUUCCCAAACCAGAAGGGACCAUGCCGGGGCUGGGCCCUGGAGCCUGGUAGCAGCCACAGACCAGCUCUUUGUGGUGGGGGCCAAUUCGUUCCUGAGCCUGAGGCCCCUCUGGAGGGAGACUGCCUUCUCCUCCUCCAUUCGUUAUCUAGUUGAAACAGCCCUGAGGAAUUUAGGUCGGCUGACUCUGGUGACCAGCCUUAGGAAGUAGGCAGGGGAUAGGGAGGGAGGAAGCAUAUACACCCUGCUUCUUAAGAACAGUGUCGACACUUAUAACACAUGGCGGCAGAGAAAGAGCAUUUAGCCCCCGCUGGCUGCACCACGCCCCUUUCCUCUGCCCAGGUACGGAUAGGAGCUCACAGAUCAUCCCAGCGUCAACUCCAACACCUGAGGAGAGCCAGACCAGAGGAGGGAGGCGCUGGGCCUGCUGAAUCACCAGCACCUGUGUUUUGCUUGGGCUGUCUCCCGCUCAGGGACUAGCCAAGCCUGACCCUGUUUGGCUUCCUGGAGCUUGGUGAGAUCACAGCCCGGGGUGUUGUGGCUGCAGGCCAGUGUGACCUGCUAUGCAGGGAGUAUUUUUAAAGAGAUACUUGCCCCUGUGUUCCCAGGAUUAGCUCAAUGAGAGAUUCAAGUUGUUCUUUGAGUCCUGCCCCCUGCAAUUUGAUUGCAGAAAUUGGUGAGGGGAAUGUGGAGUCAUUUGGGAUAAAAUGUGUAGUGGAAAUAAACAAUCCAAUCCACUUGUCAUGGACCAGCCCUGGGGGUGGCCAGGGGUCCCAGUGACUGGUAGCAUCUGAGGGAGGGGGAUGGGCAGAAUCAGAGGCCCCAGGCCCCCAAGGAUGGAAGGACAGUCUGAUUUGUUUUCCUCAGACUUCUAGAACUCCUGACUGUGGUCUCCUGGGUAGAUCCUGGACAGGAGCCACAAGUCACCAUGACAGGGUCUGCCAGUGGCAAGAAACUCGUUAAUGAGUCAGCCUCAGUGUUCCCAUCCAGGCACUGGUCCAGCCCUGCCUCCAGGCCACCUGCAGAUAAUUGGGGUCAAUGGAGGGCAGAGGAUCCCAAGAAUGCAAGUUCCCGUGCCUUUAACCGUCCUCCUGGGUUCUUAUCCUUUCCCCUUGGAGACAAGUGCCCUCUUACAAUGUGGGGCAGAAGAAAGCACAGCUCUCGGGUCACACAGAGUCUCUCAGGGGACACCUCAGGAGGAAAGGAACCUUCAGGGAGGUGCAGGUCUUCAGUUCUGGGUUCAGGAGAGUGGGGAGCAGGCAGGAAAGUUUCAGAUGCCUCCUCAGAGUCUCUAUCUUUCUAGUCCACUGACACUUCUCUUCCGCUGUGAAGCCUCCUCGAUCGCCUUCCAGUGCUCCCCCUCACCCUCUGCGCUGGGCUCCAUCGUGGCGCUGACCCCACUCAGCCUAGAACUGCAGCUGCUUGCUCUUCUGCCUCUCCUCGGACCGCCGGCUCCUCCAGAGGAUCUCGUCCGCCUACGUCUCUGUCUCCGGCGUUGUGGCAGGGGGAGAUGUGGUAAAUGUCUGAGGCAGAAGGGGAGGGACUGAGCACGCCGAGCGCCUGCCUUGUCCACGCCUUCCCUGUUCAUCGGUGCACUUGAUCACCUCAAAGCCCGCAAGGCAGGGGACCGAGGCUGCGGGGAGGGCGGUGACUCGGCCACAUCAUUAGGUAGCACAACUGGAAUUAAACCCAGCUAUUGCUGAUUUCAGACAUGAUGCUCUUUGCCCAACUCAAUACUGCCUCUCAAAUGUUCACUUAGAAGAAUGUGGGAGAGUGACAAAAUGGAUUAUGUGUCUAUGGAGUUGAAUCAAGGUGUUGUCCCUGGCUUGAAAAAUGCACCCAACUUGUGGCAGGAGAAGCAUUUUUAUUUCAUUGGAUCCAGCUUCCUUCCUUCUUUUCUUCUUCUUUCCAAGAAACAUUCUUGCCACGGUGAACUGUGAAAGAGCCUCAUGGCUGUCCCCGUGCCAUGUGCCCUUCCAGUGAAUCCAGGUGCUCAGGGCUGGAGCCACGCUGGGGGCUGGAGAGUGCCCUGGGCACAAGGGCUGAUCAAUUUGGGGACAGGAUGAGCUCUUUUUUCAGUCUGGAAAAGCACCAGUUGCCCCAUCUGUGGCCCCUGGCUGUGGGAUCUGUGAUUCUGUCCUCGGACCCUUCUGGAGUAGUGUCAGUCCCAUGGACUGCAGGAGGUGGUCACAUCUCCACUGUGGGGAAAGCCAGAGGAUUCCUCUUCCCAUCCUUCCCCUUCUCUCUAUCCCAGCGUCUUCCUCCUCUGCUGUCUCUCCUCUCUCUAGUCUCAUCUUCCUCAGCCCUCCCUUCCACCCUCUUUUUCCCUCUCCCCUCCUCUCCCUUCUGUUCUCCUUCCUUCACGGGGAACCUUAGCCCCCUAUCAGGAAACAGGUUUCUUCAGACCCUCCGAUCCCCGAGUCUGCCUCCUCUGGAUUGGCGCUGUCCAUCCCAUACAACACUGUGUGAUGAUGGGAAUGUUCUGGCUCUGCGCUGUCCUGUAUAGUAGCUGCCAGUCAUAUGUGGCUACUGAACACUGCAAUCGUAGCUUGUGCUGCUGAGGAACUGAAUUUUUACGUAUUUUAUUAGAUUUUAAUUAAUUAAUUAAAAUAGGCACAUAUGGCUAGUGGCUACUGACUUGGACAUCAGAGCUGUAAAUGAUACCAAGUGCUGGACUCCCAGGGGGUCCCUGCAGCUGUCCCCCAUCCUUGUCCGGGCCCUGCCCUCCCUCAAGUGCUCUCCCAUGCUCAGCUUCCUAUUCUGCACCCUGUGAGAAGCCACGGAAGCCUGGGUUCGGGGCUUGGAGCUGGGUGACCUCGGGCACUGGAUCUGUGAGCCUCAGUGGCCUCUUCUGUGAGAUAAUGAGGGUAAUUUCUUAAGGAAGGUGCCCAAGCUUUAAGGAUUCCUUUCAGCUCUAAGUUCUGUGUGUCUUUGGGCGGGAGCCUGCUGUGACCAGAUCUGGGUGAGUCAGUGCGAGCAGCAGGGCGGUCAGUCUGUGUGUGUGUGCAUGCAUGUGUGUGCACAUGCUGGGGGGGCGGGUGCUAUGAAGGGCAGCAGUGAGACCCUAGAGGCUCCUGCUUAUCAGUCUGACCCUGCCUGCCUGACAGCCUGAGACCGGGAAAAGGGUUAAAGGCUCCCUCGUUAGGGGAGGUUGCAGCCGGACUCCACUCCCGGCAGGCGUUUGCCCGCUCCCUGGCAAUUCCAGCUACUGGCAACUCCUCGGCUAUUCCAACACUGCCCCAGACUUCCUCUUUUGCCAUAAAAGUCUCCCGGAAAGCCUUCCCACAGAGGCCCCGGGGCUUUCUCAGGGAAUGUGUGAGUGUGUGUGAGCACAGGCACUGUAGAGCAGGAGCCCCGGGCCGUGUGCACGCUCUCCCACAGAGCCGCAGGCCCUGGUGCUGAAGGGGAUGUCUGUCCCAGCUCCAGGGGGAGGGAGGAGGUGGGCCUUGGCCUAGACUGAGCCCUGGCUCCUGCGAUGCUUAGACUUUAAUCAGCUUGAACAACUGGGACACAUGUGUGCACACACACCCGUGCACACACACUGCAUGGGGAGGUGUGUGGAAGGAAGGAGAAUUAGCCUUUGCUGCUUUGCUCUCCCUCCAAGCCUCAGUUGCAGCAGAUCCCCCACAUCUGGAGGGAAGAGGGAGAUCCUUGGAGAAAGGCUGUUCUUAGGCUCACGGGUGUGAUGGAGGCUCCAAGCCUAUGGCUGAGGCGGAAGGGACCAUUGAGAGGAGCCCUCUGGGGACAGGGGAGAGAAGCCCACCAACCAGGAUGUGACGGGACACAGCCUCAGUGCGGAGAGAAGACAAUGCCUUCUCUUCUGCUCCAGAAGCUGCCCAAGCCACGGGGGUCCUGGGUCACAGAACCCACCCGGUGGGGAGUUGCAUCAGAGCAGAACUGCACGGUAGAUGCCUUGGGGGAGAGGGCACUGAGGGCUUGUGAUCCUAAUUUUCCAACCUUCAGGUGCUUAGGGUUGAAUCCUUGGCCUCCACUGGCUCUGCUCACCAUCUCCAACACUCUUCUGCGCUAGUCUGCACCCAGAUGGAGGUGGUUGCUGGGGGUGAGCGCAGAAUGCAAGGUGUAAACCAGCGGUCACCAGGCUUUAAUCAGCCCUGAGUCAGAGAGGUGGGUGGGAACACCUUCAGGUGGUCUUGGGGAUCCCCCACAAGCACGGGCUUCCUGGGAAAAGACAGCCCUCCCUGACUGGGAACAGACGAGGCCUUUCUCUGCUGACACUAUACACCCCAGGAGAACAGAGAGGCCACUCAAGUCUUGAAUGAUUGAGAAGCAGACCUGCCUGGAGGCAGGGAGUUUGACCAGAGGACUUGUUGGGUCCCUUCUGACUCUUGUCAUUCCACACAGAGGACUCACCACAUCAAUGCCUCUUGGCUCCAAGGACCUACUGAGAGUUUGCGGGAUCCCACUCUUGGGCCUGGGGAGACGACAUUCUGGGGUCAGGGGAUGGAGAAGGGUGUGGGGACAGAAAGGGGUAUCCCACAGAGCUCUUUUGGAGUUUGUGAAUUUGCUCCAGUGUUUUUGCUUCCCUAGAAAUAGGAGAGAGAGUGGCAACAGUUGGUAAGGUCUGAAGAUUGCUUUUUGCUUAUGCGUGGUCUUGGUAAGAAAGUCAUGGGGUGUGUUCCUCCUUUAUCAUAGCUGGCAGCCCGGAUUUCCCACAAUACAAUGAAUGGGAGCCUGAGGUCUGGCUGGUUGGCAGCUUCCCCACACGUCUCUGUGGGCCUCUGUGUAGCUCUUCCCGCUUUAGAUCUGUGGGCAAGAGGUCCCCUCUGUGUAAUGUCAGCCCUAGGAGCACAGCUGCCUUCCCAGGCUCAGGACCUCCCUCUAGCUUGCUAGAGCUCAAAGCCACGCCUGCCCCAGCCCCUGCCUCUACCCAUCUCCUCCCUCCCUAGACAGGGCCAUCACCACCCAGGGCACAGCGACCAAACACAGCAGAUGGAUCAACUCUCUGAGAUGGUCCCUGUUUGCCUCUUUGUUCGAACAUUGCCACCCCUUCCCUUCCUUUGAGCAGAUUCCCCACAUAGGUGGGUGGCUGCAGACAGUUGUGGAAGCACAUAUGAGCCAUGGAUGAUGAGAUCUGAAAGGGAGUUUGGAAAUCCUUUAGUGGGGUCCACCCUCUGCAUUUUACUGAGGAACUAAUUCAGGUCCCCAGCAUCCGUGGGACCACUUACAGCCCGCGUGAGUCUAGAACUCAGUUCUCCUGAUUCCCAGUGUGAGAUAAUUUAUAAGAAAUUACCUUUUAAUUUUCCCAGGGGCUUGGAUGGGCAUGGGGCUGAAAUUUGGAAAAAUUUGGGCAGAAUUUUCUCUUUUUCCAAGAUCCAGGUGGAUGGUUCUGGGCAAAUGGCUGGUGUUUAAUAAAUGCCUGUUGAUUGGCCUGCA
Equus caballus (horse) is the source of this 9843-nucleotide non-coding RNA. The record is from RefSeq and is a predicted model, not a curated record. NCBI's taxonomy places the organism in Eukaryota, Metazoa, Chordata, Mammalia, Perissodactyla, Equidae.